UAGGGAAUCUUCCACAAUGGGCGCAAGCCUGAUGGAGCAACACCGCGUGAGUGAAGAAGGGUUUCGGCUCGUAAAGCUCUGUUGUUAAAGAAGAACACGUAUGAGAGUAACUGUUCAUACGUUGACGGUUAUUUAACCAGAAAGUCACGGCUAACUACGUGCCAC
This 165-nucleotide ribosomal RNA is filed under the name uncultured bacterium. Its description in RNAcentral is "partial 16S rRNA". It matches the Rfam family "Bacterial small subunit ribosomal RNA", at positions 355 to 511 of the family's 1533-position model. The record is from RNAcentral.